UCUUUCCGACCUAUUCCUAGUCAUUUUGGCUGGGACUGGAAGGGAAGCUAAGAGGGAAUCCGGGACGCCCGACGGCCAGACACAGGCCAGAAGGCCAAGCCGGAGCUGCCCCCGCAACUGUCAGCGGCGAGCGGCUGUCAUCAGCGUCACUGGUGCGAAUGCGCCGGGAAGACCGACAGCCGCUGCGACCCGCGAGCCAGGAGACCUGCCGUGAUCGAUGAACGUCC
This 227-nucleotide non-coding RNA is filed under the name Hyphomicrobiales bacterium. The record is from RNAcentral. Lineage: Bacteria; Pseudomonadati; Pseudomonadota; Alphaproteobacteria; Hyphomicrobiales.